Pelobates cultripes (western spadefoot toad) is the source of this 251-nucleotide non-coding RNA. The record is from the annotation of a GenBank genome assembly. Lineage: Eukaryota; Metazoa; Chordata; Amphibia; Anura; Pelobatidae.
GGAAGCUUUUCCUGUUCGUCUGCUAGCAGCUAUUCGUAUGGUUCCUGUUCGUUUAUUUGAAGUGCUACCUUAUUCCCUUGUAUGCCGUUCGGGAGUUUGGAGCAUUCACUUAUUGGCGGUUCGUGAGUUUUGGUGAUUAUUCAGUAGCUGUGCCUGUCUCUGAAAAGGGGGAUUAUCGUCUAAGCGUUUUUUUCCCCUUUUGUGCAAAACGGUCCGUUACAAUUGGUGGCAAGCGGCGGGAUCGUUCCCAC